UUCAGUGGCACAAACUCCAGGAGCCAGUGA
RNAcentral lists this non-coding RNA (30 nucleotides) under Macaca fascicularis (crab-eating macaque). Lineage: Eukaryota; Metazoa; Chordata; Mammalia; Primates; Cercopithecidae. The record is from RNAcentral. RNAcentral also lists the same sequence under 1 other name.